This is a long non-coding RNA of Melospiza melodia melodia, 959 nucleotides long. RefSeq lists it as uncharacterized. The transcript is spliced from 4 exons. The record is from RefSeq and is a predicted model, not a curated record. Lineage: Eukaryota; Metazoa; Chordata; Aves; Passeriformes; Passerellidae.
CCGGGGGCCCCCGCUCCGCUCUCCGUGCGUGUGUGACCAGCUGCUGCAGUCUAUAUAAGGAAUUACAUUUACAUUUCAGGCUUAAGGGCUGCUGUGGGGUGGUGUUUUUUUCCCCUUUGGUACGUGUGUUACUUUAAGAUGCAAUGGGUAGGUACACGGCGGGGGGAAUAAAGGCUCGUAACACCCACUCUCUACUUAUUUUCUGGAAAAUGGAGAAGUAGUUCGGUCCUCGUAGCACGACUCUUCGGAAUAGGAUGUAGAGUAGGCGAUUUUGUAACCCUCCUUGGCAAUUUUAGGUUUUAUGUGGCAUUUCCUGUGCAGGGUCACAGAUAGGAAGGCUUUGCCUGCGAUCGGAGAUGUUUUCAUAUGCAGUGAACGGUCUCUGAAAUAGAUCGGAGUCACGAUCGGUGCUUCACCUCUCUAAUCCUCCCUGUUGGGGCAUAACGUGGUGAUAAAUGACGGCCUUUCCAGGGGCUAACGGAUAAGUAGUACUCCUGAGUGACAGUCAAGAAGAAUGGGAAUCUCAGUCAAGAGCAGUGAGACUUGAUGGAUAAAAUACUGACUCCAGUUAAAUGCAGUGUAGCUUUAUAACUCUAUUUCAGUACUCCUGAGAAAGAAUACUCCUUCCAUCACACAGAAUGUAAGCACCUUUCAGCAGUAAGAAUGUAUGUACUGAGUCUUCCUGCAUCUUGGCCUAUACAUCCAAUUCCUUGUGCAUCCAUCCACAGAUGUGUAUAUGGAAGAAAGCAAAAUGAUAUAACAAAACAUCACAAAUGUGGCAUGAUUUGAAAAAAGCCUGGGGAAAUCUAUUCCAUCUGAAAAAGGACAAACUAAAGAACAGAAAAAUCAGGCCUUAACUACAAGACUUAAGUUGAUUUUUGUUGAACUGACUGUACUUUGAAGCAUUUUAGUAAGAAGUUCAAACUUGGCAGUGGAGAAAUAAUACCAACGUAGAUCUG